Long non-coding RNA from Ornithorhynchus anatinus (platypus), 1013 nucleotides. RefSeq lists it as uncharacterized. The record is from RefSeq and is a predicted model, not a curated record. Lineage: Eukaryota; Metazoa; Chordata; Mammalia; Monotremata; Ornithorhynchidae. The transcript has 3 exons.
AACCGUUUUCUUCACAUUGAUUCUCAGAUCCAGAGCCUCGGAACUGGGAUUCAUCCAUUUUCCUGGCGGGGAGACUCCAGACUCUUUCAGUCCCUUCAAAUACAGAGUGACAUCAUUCAACUGCCGGGUUUAUAGUCAGAUGGAGCUUCAUAUCAGGCUUCCCAGAUCUGCCCAGAGGCAUGAGCGACAGGCUGCUUAAAAAUCAAAAGUGCUUUGCUAUCAUCACUGGGGCAUAUGUGCCAACUCUGAUGAAUACUGAUAAACAGAAACCAAUAUUCUAAAGGAAUCAGACCACUAAGUGGGAAUUUCAACUCAAGUUGGGUAGCUAUUCUCAAAUGCGCUGGUGACAGGGAAGAGAGGAAGUCAUCACAGCACAAGGCUUGAAAAACUAAAGAGCAAUGUGGUAUUCCUUCUCUCUAUGUUCAGAGCCAUACUCGUCCUCCCGAAGAAUUUUUAGAAAGUGAAGAUGGUUUCUGUAGUGAGUCCACAAUAAGCUGCCUUACCAGUGACUGUUUGUGAUCCUGUGAACAACAACAAGGAAGAGAUUUGCGGAGCCACCAAUGAGCUCUUCCUGAGACAGGUGAUUUUGGGCCUGUGGGGACGGAGCAUGGAGAGAGGCAUGACUUUCCCUGUUCUACCCAGUAAUGGGCCUGGACCAAUCAAUGACUGCCACGGAGAGCCACAGCUGGGAUAGCUAAGGCAGAUAAAAAGUGCUCAUUUUGCAUUGCAAAAAAGCACACAAGGAGCAUGUGGGAGGCACAGAGGGAAGCACCUGGAGCAGAAGCAUGAAGAGAAUCAAGAAGGAAGCACUCUGAUAGAAGCGGAAGCAACAGGAGAGCAGGACUCAGAGGCAGCAGAAGCCAGCUACACUGGGAAGCAGAAAGAAGAAGCAUUGGCAGAAUGGGCUCUUUUGACCAGCAGAGUGGUACUGGACUCCUUAUGGAGUGGAGUGAGUGAGUGUGUAUGUGUGUGUCGCUCCCUUGCAUGUUGAUAAAACUAAGUAAAAAACUUUC